GGCGGGCGACCCGGGAGUGCGGUCUGGCGGAGGAGCCGGACACCGAGCCUACCGGCUCCAACUCGGCAGCUCCGCGGAAGUGAAAGGGAGGGAGCGGCGGGGAGGGGCGCGGGCGGCGCAUGUUUUGUCGUUCGAUGCGAUCGAGGAAAAGUGGAAUUUUGUCCGGUCGCACUGGAGGGACCGCCCUGGGCAGCUGUCCCAGGCCACCUUCUCCCCCCAGAUGGUCUCGUCCCCUCGCAGAGCGUCGUCCUGCUCCAGCCCACCUCGUCCUGAGGUCCAGGUGUGGGUAAUCUGGGAGCCUCAGAAACGUCAUCUGGGUGUCCUACAAAGAGCUCGGCAUCUCCCCUCCAAACAUGCCGCGUCUCCCAUCUCAGCAGCUGCAUCGCUGCAGCUCGGUCGUCAGCCCCUCACCCCAUCGGCGAGUCAUUAAACCCCUGGGCCCGCUUUACUUCCGUACUUCUUGACGCCUGUUUGUCGCUGCUGCCCUGCUCUGGCUUCCUCCACGCAGGCCACCGGCGUCUCCCACCUGGGUUACCGUAGUUACCUGCUCACUCAUUUUCCUGUCCGGUGGUUUUGCCCCACCCACAUCUCGAUAUUGCAGCCACAUAGAUGUUUUAUUGUAAAGUGCCACGUGUAAUCUCUUAGGGGAUGUUUGUCACCCUCAGGAUAAAGUCCUAUCUCCUUAACUUCUCUUUAUAAGGCCCUCCUAAUCCUGUCUCCUGCUAGAUCUCUCACCACCGGCCACUCUUCCCACCCGUCCUCAGUUCCAGCCUACCUGAACUGCUUUCAAAUUCUCUAAAUGUGCCCAGUCUGCUCUGGUUUCUGCAGCCCUCCCUAGUUUCCUUCUUUUCUGAGAGCUGGCUUCCUGCCUUUCCCUCACCUCCUUCCCCAAAGUGUGAAAUAAUUAGGGGCGCCCACUGCACCCCUGUCUCUGCAACAAACUAUAGCCCUUUCCUGUGGUGGCUUGUCGUCCGAGCAGGGGCUGUGUGGUGCUCAACAUUGUUUCCAGUUCCUAGGAAGAUCCUGGCAGUAGUGGUCGGAGCCAGUGACCCUUUUAGAACACACAGUGAGGGGCACAGGAAGCCGAUAGCCUUAGGUGUCUACUGACUGAUUCAUUUUAUAUUGCUGAGUUUUUCAGUUUUGAAUUCCUCUUCUCUUAGUUAAAGGUUUCUUUAUAAGAGUAACA
Molecule: long non-coding RNA, 1186 nt
Organism: Bos taurus (domestic cattle)
Lineage: Eukaryota; Metazoa; Chordata; Mammalia; Artiodactyla; Bovidae
Source: Ensembl